Molecule: ribosomal RNA, 736 nt
Filed under: uncultured Pseudomonas sp.
Lineage: Bacteria; Pseudomonadati; Pseudomonadota; Gammaproteobacteria; Pseudomonadales; Pseudomonadaceae
Description: bacterial SSU rRNA
Rfam family: Bacterial small subunit ribosomal RNA
Source: RNAcentral
UGGCUCAGAUUGAACGCUGGCGGCAGGCCUAACACAUGCAAGUCGAGCGGCAGCACGGGUACUUGUACCUGGUGGCGAGCGGCGGACGGGUGAGUAAUGCCUAGGAAUCUGCCUGGUAGUGGGGGAUAACGUUCGGAAACGAACGCUAAUACCGCAUACGUCCUACGGGAGAAAGCAGGGGACCUUCGGGCCUUGCGCUAUCAGAUGAGCCUAAGUCGGAUUAGCUAGUUGGUGAGGUAAUGGCUCACCAAGGCGACGAUCCGUAACUGGUCUGAGAGGAUGAUCAGUCACACUGGAACUGAGACACGGUCCAGACUCCUACGGGAGGCAGCAGUGGGGAAUAUUGGACAAUGGGCGAAAGCCUGAUCCAGCCAUGCCGCGUGUGUGAAGAAGGUCUUCGGAUUGUAAAGCACUUUAAGUUGGGAGGAAGGGCAGUUACCUAAUACGUAAUUGUUUUGACGUUACCGACAGAAUAAGCACCGGCUAACUCUGUGCCAGCAGCCGCGGUAAUACAGAGGGUGCAAGCGUUAAUCGGAAUUACUGGGCGUAAAGCGCGCGUAGGUGGUUCGUUAAGUUGGAUGUGAAAUCCCCGGGCUCAACCUGGGAACUGCAUUCAAAACUGUCGAGCUAGAGUAUGGUAGAGGGUGGUGGAAUUUCCUGUGUAGCGGUGAAAUGCGUAGAUAUAGGAAGGAACACCAGUGGCGAAGGCGACCACCUGGACUGAUACUGACACUGA